Populus trichocarpa (black cottonwood) is the source of this 1636-nucleotide long non-coding RNA. RefSeq lists it as uncharacterized. The transcript is spliced from 2 exons. The record is from RefSeq and is a predicted model, not a curated record. Lineage: Eukaryota; Viridiplantae; Streptophyta; Magnoliopsida; Malpighiales; Salicaceae.
UCCAAAAGACUCUUAAAUUACACCUUAAAAAUAUUAUUUGAGAUAAUUUUAUUAUUUUUCCUUGAUUUUUCAGGAUUUCAUAUGAUUUUUGAAUUUCUUGUUAUUUUUUCUUUUUUUAAUUAGGGAUUAUGAUUUUCUUGGUUAUAGUUGGUUUUUGGUUUGUAAACCUCUCAGAAAGAAGUAAUAUAUCGGACUUUAUUCUAAAAAAUAAAGCUAGAAAUUAGGGUUCUUGUUAAGCUAACCUUUUUUGUCAAACUUUGUUGUUGUCUUAUUUGUUUUUGUGCUUCUAAUCACGAUGAAAUACAUCUUCACCUUUGGACUUUGUAAAGUGGAUUCAGCACUGAUAUCCCCAUAUCUGGCAUACAAGUCUUCAAAGUUUGGAGCCAAGUCCCAGCUGAUGAAAUGAUCGUUAGCUUUGAUGACCUUCUCAUAGUCUUGCCCAACUCUUACAGUUCCACCAGUUGCAAUAUCCAGCGACUUCAUCAAAGCGUUGUUUGAUUGUAUGCUUUUCCAUUUUGCAUCCCAUAUGGGACUAUAAUGCUUUUUGUUUCUAAUAAUAAUACUUGUCUUGUUGCUUAUGCACCGGCAACUCUGUUCUGAACAAUAAUGUCUCCUAAGCCUUCACUCGCUGAAUUGUCAUGAGAUAGUUUUGCUACGCCUUAGAUAUCACCAUUAGCUUUUGUAAGCUUAUUUGCCUAGAUUAAAGUGUUUGAUCGUUUGAAGAGGGUGUUGAAAUUGAUCUCAACAAGCCGUUGUACUGCGGUUUCUUGCGCUCUGAGGCCCAUUACACUCUGGACAACUGGACUACAGAACUGGAGUAUCUCAUUCAUCCCAUCUAUUCCUUCCAUGUCAUCUGUGAGCAAGAUUAAACUUGCUUGUGCUAUUAUAGAGAUAUGCUAUAAGGUUGUUGUGCAGUGGCUUCUUGAGGACUUUCUUGUUGACUUCCUACACUAUCUUGAAUCGCUAAAAUACUGGAAACUAAACAAGCAACGAGACAGUUUCCGGGCACGCAGAACACCUAGCGCCUGAUAUCACAGUAAACCAUCACCCGCUAUCAUCCAUUUCAGCGUUGAGGCUUUUCUCAGGCGUUCGGCUUCGAGGGUAAGAGUACAAAAGCUUUGUGCACUCUAGAGUCCUGUGUCGCCCUUUUAGCGCUUCCAAGUUUGCUGUUACUGAUUUGAUAAUUGCUUUCAGUGGUGAUGAAAAUAUGGAAAUGGAUCGUCUUUUAGCUGCUCCUGGAAGGGAGACAACUGACGUCACAGAGACAUCAUCCAAUGACCAGAGAGAAUAUAGUAAUAGCAACCCAAAACUUUCCCUGUUUGCAGACAAGUCAUAUGAACAUUUUAUGGAGAAGCUUGAUUCUAGCACUAAUUAUUCUUCGAGGUUGUCAAUGUCAGGGGUAAAUUGAUCCCUCGGAAAUUCGCCCUGUUCUAGAAAAGCUGUGCUCUAAAUAUGGAGAUGUCAGUGCAGAAUCCACGUUAAGUCCACGAGUGAAGAACUAUAUCACUGUCAUGCUGUGUCGGGCUAGGUACAGCAUCUUUUAUUUAUUAUUAUUUUUAAUUUAAUUUUGGAUUUUCAAUGUUAAUUUCACAUUUUGUUUUUAGUUCUACUAUCUAUAUAAGGAUUCUGAUUGUCA